This 510-nucleotide ribosomal RNA is filed under the name uncultured bacterium. Its description in RNAcentral is "bacterial SSU rRNA". It matches the Rfam family "Bacterial small subunit ribosomal RNA", at positions 791 to 1300 of the family's 1533-position model. The record is from RNAcentral.
UAGUCCACGCCGUAAACGAUGUCAACUAGCCGUCGGGCUCAUUUAAGGGUUUGGUGGCGCAGCUAACGCGAUAAGUUGACCGCCUGGGGAGUACGCCGGCAACGGUAAAACUCAAAGGAAUUGACGGGGGCCCGCACAAGCGGUGGAUUAUGUGGUUUAAUUCGAAGCAACGCGCAAAACCUUACCUAGGCUUGAAAUCCUACGAAUCUGGUGUAAUGACCGGAGUGCUCGCAAGAGAACGUAGUGACAGGUGCUGCAUGGCUGUCGUCAGCUCGUGUUGUGAAAUGUUGGGUUAAGUCUCGCAACGAGCGCAACCCCUAUCCUUAGUUGCCAGCAUUUAGUUGGGCACUCUAGGGAGACUGCCUGGGCAACCAGGAGGAAGGUGGGGAUGACGUCAAGUCCUCAUGGCCCUUAUGCCUAGGGCUACACACGUAAUACAAUGGUGCAUACAAUGGGAAGCGACCCAGUGAUGGUGAGCAAAUCUCUAAAAGUGCAUCUCAGUCCGGAGUU